RNAcentral lists this unclassified non-coding RNA (1144 nucleotides) under Hevea brasiliensis (rubber tree). The record is from RNAcentral. Lineage: Eukaryota; Viridiplantae; Streptophyta; Magnoliopsida; Malpighiales; Euphorbiaceae.
CGAUAAUACAGAGAAUGUUAUCCUUGAAUAUGCGUGAUUUAACCAUCUCCAUGUUGAAGAUGACAUUUUCAUAUGCUAGCAUGAAUCUGUUUGUGCUAAAGGAAAACACCACAAUGAGCCAAGGAAAAAACAAUAAUAAUAACAACAGGAAGGACAAGCUUAGCCUGGCUGAUUCAGUAGCUAAAGGGCAUGUUCUCUCCGGUCCCUCAAUCCCUUAAAAAGAAAAAUGCAUUUCUCCACAAAUACUUAGUUACAUGCAUAGAUAAAAGGAAAAACACAUAAUACAAGCUAUGGCAGCCACAACUAAAUGCCCCCCCACUCGUCACUCCCACAAGCAAUGGAAGUUCCUUCCACCUUAAUAAAUACCAAGCAGAGUCACAGCCAAUUAUUUAAAAUACAAAGCACACGCAACAGGAAAUAUACAUAUCAUAUUUCUUCCUACUACUCGAUCCCUAAAUUCUUUCUCAUCAUCAGGACAAAUUCAUAGACCUUUUGUUGGUCAGGAAGGGACUCGGAUAUAGAUUCUUUCUGCAUGCACCUCUUAGCCCAAGCAAUCAGAACAGGACACUCGGGCUCUAUGCUGAAGUUGCCACAGGUCUCAUAGGCAUAAAACCAGCAAUAAAAUGGUAUGAGUACAACAUCCACAUAUCCAAUGGUCUCCCCACCAAAAUAAGGCUUGUUUCCAAGCUCACCUUCCAACAACUUAAGGGCCUCAAUGAAUUCUUUCUUGGCUGCCUCCUGCUCAUCUCCCUUUGUAGUCCAUAUCUUCCUCCCUAUAUCAUAUAUCUUCUUGUCAAUAAAAUCAGCCCAGAAUCUAGCCUGGGCUCUCUGGUAAGGAUCGGAGGGCAGGAGAGGAGACUUAUCGUUCCACGCUUCAUCAACAUACUGGACAGCAACAAGGGACUCGCAAACGGGUCUUCCGUUGUGAAUGAGAACAGGAAUCUUCUUGUGAAUUGGGUUCAUCUGCAAGAGAAGAGGGCUCUUGUUCCUCAAGUCCUCAUCUCUGUACUCAUACUUGACACUCUUCUCAGCCAAUGCUAUUCUGACCCUCAUCCCAAAAGGGCUUGGCCAGAAGUCCAAGAGGAUCACUUCAUCAGCCAUUUCAGUUUGGCUUAGCUACAUUAUCACUGCGAGUGGACUCUGC